UGAACGCUGGCGGCGUGCUUAACACAUGCCCGUCGAACGGAAAGGCUCCUGCUUGCAGGGGUACUCGAGUGGCGAACGGGUGAGUAACACGUGGGUGAUCUGCCCUGCACUUCGGGAUAAGCCUGGGAAACUGGGUCUAAUACCGGAUAGGACGAUGGUUUGGAUGCCAUUGUGGAAAGUUUUUCGGUGUGGGAUGAGCUCGCGGCCUAUCAGCUUGUUGGUGGGGUAAUGGCCUACCAAGGCGUCGACGGGUAGCCGGCCUGAGAGGGUGUACGGCCACAUUGGGACUGAGAUACGGCCCAGACUCCUACGGGAGGCAGCAGUGGGGAAUAUUGCACAAUGGGCGCAAGCCUGAUGCAGCGACGCCGCGUGGGGGAUGACGGCCUUCGGGUUGUAAACUCCUUUCGCUAGGGACGAAGCGCAAGUGACGGUACCUGGAGAAGAAGCACCGGCUAACUACGUG
Molecule: ribosomal RNA, 463 nt
Filed under: uncultured bacterium
Lineage: Bacteria
Description: partial 16S ribosomal RNA
Rfam family: Bacterial small subunit ribosomal RNA
Source: RNAcentral